This 905-nucleotide long non-coding RNA is filed under the name Homo sapiens (human). Its description in RNAcentral is "HSALNT0327046". Lineage: Eukaryota; Metazoa; Chordata; Mammalia; Primates; Hominidae. The record is from RNAcentral.
GUGUGAAGAGGCUGACAGCGGCGUGGCCACCACCCAGGAUGGAGAGAAAGGCACUGUGAGGUGUUAAUGGAAAAAUCCAACUUCCUUUUCUUCCAAAGAUGAUGACUGAAACCAAAGUGGAGCUUUCCCUUGUGAAGUGAAAGCAAAGUUUUAAAAUUUUUUCUCCUCUGCAAGAAAAUAUAUUUCAGAAAAUCUCUAUCUCAAAAAUGAAGCAAUUAAGAACUGUCUGGCUGUGAGGAUCUGGCCUCAACUUGACUUAAAGCAACAACUUCAGUUACAUAUCAAGAUGUGCGUGAGAAUGAACCUGCUCUGCUCAGCCAACGUGCUGAGUGACUUGAUGUUUGUAAUAAAUAAAUAAAUAAACAACAAACAGGUUGUCAUGAAAUAUCCUUUGUAAUUAUAAACACAGGAAACUUUCUGAGAUGCAAGUGGGUGUUAAAUGGUUCAGCAAAGCCAAGCCAGAGCAGUUGGUGUGCUUUGAAAUGAAGCAACAUUGGAAAAAUGAAAUCUACUGAAAGAUCACUACGUGUUUCAAAGAACUGACUAGAACCAGAACUCUUCAGAAAAGAAUGUGCUAAAGGUUUGUCCUUGAGAAGUUUCCAAGCCAAGACACUCCUAGGAGCACUUCCCAUUGAGGCCGAAAGGCUCAUCCACUUACAGCGAUUCAUGGGAAAAGAGGACAGCACCCUCAUCUUUGGUCCAAGAACACAAUCCUGAGUGACACAGGAUUGCCCUGAAAGUCAACAGCAUCCGUCUUACAAAAAUCAACAACACUCGCUUUUCAAACUUCCAAAGAAUUUACUGGUCUGGUUUGGCCUUUUGGUGCCACAUUCCAUUCCAGAACCCCAGCUAAAAUGUUCUCAAGGGCUGACCAGAGAUUCCUCCUCCUUUCUCUGGGCUGGUAC